RNAcentral lists this ribosomal RNA (253 nucleotides) under uncultured bacterium. RNAcentral's name for it is "partial 16S ribosomal RNA". It matches the Rfam family "Bacterial small subunit ribosomal RNA", at positions 524 to 776 of the family's 1533-position model. The record is from RNAcentral.
UACGGAGGGGGCUAGCGUUGCUCGGAAUCACUGGGCGUAAAGCGCACGUAGGCGGGUCUUUAAGUCAGGGGUGAAAUCCUGGAGCUCAACUCCAGAACUGCCUUUGAUACUGAGGAUGUUGAGUUCGGGAGAGGUGAGUGGAACUGCGAGUGUAGAGGUGAAAUUCGUAGAUAUUCGCAAGAACACCAGUGGCGAAGGCGGCUCACUGGCCCGAUACUGACGCUGAGGCACGAAAGCGUGGGGAGCAAACAGG